ACUCCUACGGGAGGCAGCAGUGGGGAAUAUUGCACAAUGGGGCGCAAGCCUGAUGCAGCCAUGCCGCGUGUAUGAAGAAGGCCUUCGGGUUGUAAAGUACUUUCAGCAGUGAGGAAGGUGGAUAUGUUAAUAGCAUAUUCAUUUGACGUUAGCUGCAGAAGAAGCACCGGCUAACUCCGUGCCAGCAGCCGCGGUAAUACGGAGGGUGCGAGCGUUAAUCGGAAUUACUGGGCGUAAAGCGCAUGCAGGUGGUUUGUUAAGUCAGAUGUGAAAGCCCGGGGCUCAACCUCGGAAUUGCAUUUGAAACUGGCGAAACUAGAGUACUGUAGAGGGGGGGUAGAAUUUCAGGUGUAGCGGUGAAAUGCGUAGAGAUCUAGAAGGAAUACCGGUGGCGAAAGGCGGACCCCCUGGACAGAUACUGACACUCGAGAUAGCGAAAAGCGUGGGGAAGCAAAACAGGAUUAGAUACCCUGGUAAGCGU
This 481-nucleotide ribosomal RNA is filed under the name uncultured bacterium. RNAcentral describes it as "bacterial SSU rRNA". It matches the Rfam family "Bacterial small subunit ribosomal RNA", at positions 335 to 797 of the family's 1533-position model. The record is from RNAcentral.